CCGGCGAUGUCUGCUUCUGCUGACUGACGCAUGACCAGCUCCGUUUCAUAUCUGUCAGAGACACACGUUCUUUAAAAACUCUCACAUCGCCUGGACACAAGAUCUUCUAUAGCAUGUAAUCCUGCAAAACAUAAUAUACCUUAGCCUGAAGAUCCUGUAUGGUGACAAAGUAGGCUCUGUAGUCACGUGCAACAGGAGAGGCUUUGCCAUCUAGGAACUGACGGAUCUUCAGCUCCAGAUCAGCGUUGGCCUUCUCUAGUGAGCGCACUUUGACCAGAGUGAGUGGACUUGGAGAUGCGGACCCCUGAACCUCCUGCGCCGGCAUACACGCUGCCGGCCCUCAUGGUGCCCACACGGCUGCUUCCCACGCUAGACGUGGACAUACGCAUGGAGCCGCUGGAGGACAUGCG
Molecule: long non-coding RNA, 410 nt
Organism: Carassius auratus (goldfish)
Lineage: Eukaryota; Metazoa; Chordata; Actinopteri; Cypriniformes; Cyprinidae
Exons: 3
Source: RefSeq, a predicted model, not a curated record